RNAcentral lists this ribosomal RNA (200 nucleotides) under uncultured bacterium. RNAcentral's name for it is "partial 16S ribosomal RNA". It matches the Rfam family "Bacterial small subunit ribosomal RNA", at positions 8 to 216 of the family's 1533-position model. The record is from RNAcentral.
AGAGUUUGAUCCUGGCUCAGAACGAACGCUGGCGGCAUGCCUAACACAUGCAAGUCGGACGCUUCGCGGGUUUCGGCCCGCGGGGAGUGGCGCACGGGUGAGUAGCGCGUGGGAACCUGUCCCUUUGUGGGGGAUAACCGAGGGAAACUUCGGCUAAUACCGCAUGCGCCCCUGGAGUGAUCCGGGGGGAAAGAUUUAUC